This 296-nucleotide signal recognition particle RNA is filed under the name Saimiri boliviensis boliviensis (Bolivian squirrel monkey). RNAcentral's name for it is "Metazoan signal recognition particle RNA (ENSSBOG00000000903.1)". It matches the Rfam family "Metazoan signal recognition particle RNA". From Rfam's summary of the family: The signal recognition particle (SRP) is a universally conserved ribonucleoprotein. It is involved in the co-translational targeting of proteins to membranes. Lineage: Eukaryota; Metazoa; Chordata; Mammalia; Primates; Cebidae. The record is from RNAcentral.
GCCGGGCAUGGUGGCGGGUGCCUGUAGUCCUAGCUAUUUGGGAGGCUGAGACUGGAGGAUCUCUUGAGUCCAGGAGUUCUGGGCUGUAGUGCACUAUGCUGAUCGGGUGUCCACACUAAGUUCGGCAUCAAUAUGGUGACCUCCCGGGAGCAAGGAACCAGCAGGUUGCCUAAGGAGGGGUGAACUGGCCCAGGUCGGAAACGGAGGUCAAAACUCCAGUGCUGAUCAGUAGUGGGAUCACAUCUGUGAAUAGCCACUGCACUCCAGCCUGGGCAACACAGCGAGACCCCAUCUCU